UUAUUGGAGAGUUUGAUCCUGGCUCAGGAUGAACGCUGGCGGCGUGCCUAAUACAUGCAAGUCGAGCGAAUGGAUUAAGAGCUUGCUCUUAUGAAGUUAGCGGCGGACGGGUGAGUAACACGUGGGUAACCUGCCCAUAAGACUGGGAUAACUCCGGGAAACCGGGGCUAAUACCGGAUAACAUUUUGAACCGCAUGGUUCGAAAUUGAAAGGCGGCUUCGGCUGUCACUUAUGGAUGGACCCGCGUCGCAUUAGCUAGUUGGUGAGGUAACGGCUCACCAAGGCAACGAUGCGUAGCCGACCUGAGAG
Molecule: ribosomal RNA, 309 nt
Filed under: Bacillus anthracis (anthrax bacterium)
Lineage: Bacteria; Bacillati; Bacillota; Bacilli; Caryophanales; Bacillaceae
Also listed under: 4 other names
Description: bacterial SSU rRNA
Rfam family: Bacterial small subunit ribosomal RNA
Source: RNAcentral